AGAUUGAACGCUGGCGGCAUGCCUUACACAUGCAAGUCGAACGGUAGAGUAGCAAUACUCGAGAGUGGCGAACGGGUGAGUAAUAUAUCGGAACGUGCCCAGUCGUGGGGGAUAACGUAGAGAAAUUUACGCUAAUACCGCAUACGAUCUACGGAUGAAAGCGGGGGAUUCGCAAGAACCUCGCGCGAUUGGAGCGGCUGAUAUCAGAUUAGGUUGUUGGUGAGGUAAAAGCUCACCAAGCCGACGAUCUGUAGCUGGUUUGAGAGAACGACCAGCCACACUGGGACUGAGACACGGCCCAGACUCCGUACGGGAGCAGCACGGUGGGGAAUUUUGGACAAGUGGGACGAAAG
This 353-nucleotide ribosomal RNA is filed under the name uncultured soil bacterium. Its description in RNAcentral is "bacterial SSU rRNA". It matches the Rfam family "Bacterial small subunit ribosomal RNA", at positions 26 to 381 of the family's 1533-position model. The record is from RNAcentral.